RNAcentral lists this ribosomal RNA (253 nucleotides) under uncultured bacterium. RNAcentral describes it as "partial 16S ribosomal RNA". It matches the Rfam family "Bacterial small subunit ribosomal RNA", at positions 524 to 776 of the family's 1533-position model. The record is from RNAcentral.
UACGGGGGGGGCAAGCGUUGUUCGGAAUUACUGGGCGUAAAGGGCUCGUAGGCGGCCAACUAAGUCGGACGUGAAAUCCCCAGGCUCAACCUGGGAACUGCGUCCGAUACUGGAUGGCUUGAAUUCGGGAGAGGGAUGCAGAAUUCCAGGUGUAGCGGUGAAAUGCGUAGAUAUCUGGAGGAAUACCGGUGGCGAAGGCGGCAUCCUGGACCGACAUCGACGCUGAGGAGCGAAAGCUAGGGGAGCAAACGGG